Molecule: ribosomal RNA, 720 nt
Filed under: uncultured delta proteobacterium
Lineage: Bacteria; Deltaproteobacteria
Description: bacterial SSU rRNA
Rfam family: Bacterial small subunit ribosomal RNA
Source: RNAcentral
UGCGGUCGAACGAGAAAGUCACUUCGGUGGCGAGUAGAGUGGCGCACGGGUGAGUAACGCGUAGAUGAUCUACCCUUCAGUCUGGGACAACUCUUGGAAACGGGAGCUAAUACCGGAUAAAACCUUCGGGUUGAAAGCUUUAGUGCUGGAGGACGAGUCUGCGUACCAUUAGCUUGUUGGUGGGGUAAGAGCCUACCAAGGCGACGAUGGUUAGCGGGUCUGAGAGGACGAUCCGCCACACUGGAACUGAGACACGGUCCAGACUCCUACGGGAGGCAGCAGUAGGGAAUAUUGCGCAAUGGGGGAAACCCUGACGCAGCAAUGCCGCGUGAGUGAAGAAGGCCCUCGGGUCGUAAAGCUCUUUUAUGGGGGAAGAUGAUGACGGUACCCCAUGAAUAAGCACCGGCUAACUACGUGCCAGCAGCCGCGGUAAUACGUAGGGUGCGAGCGUUGUUCGGAAUUACUGGGCGUAAAGGGCGUGCAGGCGGAUUGGUAAGCCGGAGGUGAAAGCCCGGGGCUCAACCCCGGAGGGUCUUUCGGAACUGCCAGUCUUGAGAGGGUCAGGGGCCAGCGGAAUUCCUGGUGUAGAGGUGAAAUUCGUAGAGAUCAGGAGGAACACCGGCGGCGAAAGCGGCUGGCUGGGGCCACUCUGACGCUGAGGCGCGAAAGCGUGGGGAGCAAACAGGAUUAGAUACCCUGGUAGUCCACGCCGUAAACGAU